AUACGUAGGUGACAAGCGUUAUCCGGAUUUACUGGGCGUAAAGGGCGUGUAGGCGGUCUUGCAGGUCAGAAGUGAAAUUCCUGAGCUCAACUCGGGCGCUGCUUCUGAAACUGCAGGACUUGAGUGAUGGAGGGGAUAGCGGAAUUCCUAGUGGAGCGGUAAAAUGUGCAGAUAUUAGGAAGAACACCGGUGGCGAAGGAGGCUAACUGGACAGUAACUGACGCUGAGGCGCGGAAGCGUGGGGAGCAAACAGGAUUAGAUACCCUGGUAGUCCACGCUGUAAACGAUGAAUACUAGGUGUAGGGGGUAUCGACGCCCUCUGUGCCACAGUUAACACAAUAAGUAUUCCGCCUGGGGAGUACGGCCGCAAGGUUGAAACUCAAAUGAAUUGACGGGG
This 397-nucleotide ribosomal RNA is filed under the name uncultured bacterium. RNAcentral describes it as "partial 16S ribosomal RNA". It matches the Rfam family "Bacterial small subunit ribosomal RNA", at positions 523 to 918 of the family's 1533-position model. The record is from RNAcentral.